RNAcentral lists this ribosomal RNA (433 nucleotides) under uncultured bacterium. RNAcentral's name for it is "partial 16S ribosomal RNA". It matches the Rfam family "Bacterial small subunit ribosomal RNA", at positions 29 to 507 of the family's 1533-position model. The record is from RNAcentral.
AACGAACGCUGGCGGCAUGCCUAACACAUGCAAGUCGAACGAGACCUUCGGGGCUAGUGGCGCACGGGAGCGUAACGCGUGGGAACCUGCCCUUAGGUUCGGAAUAACUCCCCGAAAGGGGUGCUAAUACCGGAUAAUGUCUUCGGACCAAAGAUGGAUCGCCUCUGGAUGGGCCCGCGUUGGAUUAGCUAGUUGGUAGAGUAAAAGCCUACCAAGGCGACGAUCCAUAGCUGGUCUGAGAGGAUGAUCAGCCACACUGGGACUGAGACACGGCACAGACUCCUACGGGAGGCAGCAGUAGGGAAUAUUGGACAAUGGGCGAAAGCCUGAUCAAGCAAUGCCGCGUGAGUGAUGAAGGCCUUAGGGUUGUAAAGCUCUUUUACCCGGGAUGAUAAUGACAGUACCGGGAGAAUAAGCCCCGGCUAACUCCGUG